RNAcentral lists this ribosomal RNA (1450 nucleotides) under metagenome. RNAcentral describes it as "bacterial SSU rRNA". It matches the Rfam family "Bacterial small subunit ribosomal RNA". The record is from RNAcentral.
AGAGUUUGAUCCUGGCUCAGGAUGAACGCUGGCGGUAUGCCUAACACAUGCAAGUCGAACGGUGUCUUCGGACACAGUGGCGGACGGGUGAGUAACGCGUGAGAAUCUGCCUCUAGGUUGGGGACAACAGUUGGAAACGACUGCUAAUACCCGAUGUGCCGUAAGGUAAAAGAUUUAUUGCCUGGAGAGGAGCUCGCGUCUGAUUAGCUAGUUGGUGGGGUAAAAGCCUACCAAGGCAGCGAUCAGUAGCUGGUCUGAGAGGAUGAGCAGCCACACUGGGACUGAGACACGGCCCAGACUCCUACGGGAGGCAGCAGUGGGGAAUUUUCCGCAAUGGGCGAAAGCCUGACGGAGCAAUACCGCGUGAGGGAGGAAGGCCUUUGGGUUGUAAACCUCUUUUCUCAGGGAAGAAGAUCUGACGGUACCUGAGGAAUAAGCAUCGGCUAACUCCGUGCCAGCAGCCGCGGUAAUACGGAGGAUGCAAGCGUUAUCCGGAAUCAUUGGGCGUAAAGCGUCCGCAGGUGGUUUUUCAAGUCUGCUGUUAAAGACUGGAGCUCAACUCCGGAAAGGCAGUGGAAACUGAGAAACUAGAGUUCGGUAGGGGUAGCGGGAAUUCCCAGUGUAGCGGUGAAAUGCGUAGAUAUUGGGAAGAACAUCGGUGGCGAAGGCGCGCUACUGGACCGAAACUGACACUCAGGGACGAAAGCUAGGGGAGCGAAAGGGAUUAGAUACCCCGGUAGUCCUGGCUGUAAACGAUGAAUACUUGGUGUGGGGGGUAGGAAAGUCCCUCUGUGCCGGCGAUAACUCAUUAAGUAUUCCGCCUGGGGAGUACGGCCGCAAGGCUGAAACUCAAAGGAAUUGACGGGGGCCCGCACAAGCGGUGGAGCAUGUGGUUUAAUUCGACACAACGCGAAGGACCUUACCGGGGUUUGAACUGGAUAGGCGACCUGCAGAGAUGUAGGGUUCCUUUCGGGGACUUAUCCAGAGGUGCUGCAUGGCUGUCGUCAGCUCGUGUCGUGAGAUGUUGGGUUAAGUCCCGCAACGAGCGCAACCCUUGUCUGUAGUUGCCAUCAGGUUAAGCUGGGCACUCUACGGAGACUGUCGGCGAAAAGCCGGAGGAAGGUGGGGAUGACGUCAAGUCCUCAUGGCCUUUAUGUCCCGGGCUACACACGUGCUACAAUGGGCGGAACAGAGGGCAGCGACCUCGCAAGAGCAAGCGAAUCCCAGAAAUCCGCUCUCAGUUCGGAUUGCAGUCUGCAACUCGACUGCAUGAAGUUGGAAUCGCUAGUAAUCGCGGAUCAGAACGCCGCGGUGAAUACGUUCCCGGGCCUUGUACACACCGCCCGUCACAUCACGAAAGUGGGUUGUACUAGAAGCCGCCGGCCUAACCCUUCGGGGGGGGAGGCGUCGACGGUGUGAUCCAUGAUUGGGGUGAAGUCGUAACAAGGUA